This 23-nucleotide microRNA is filed under the name Panagrellus redivivus. RNAcentral's name for it is "prd-miR-7901-5p". Lineage: Eukaryota; Metazoa; Nematoda; Chromadorea; Rhabditida; Panagrolaimidae. The record is from miRBase by way of RNAcentral.
GGCGCGUCUUCGGAUUCAGUAUG